GGGGGUGUAGCUCAGUUGGUUAGAGCGCUGGCCUGUCACGCCAGAGGUCGCGGGUUCGAGCCCCGUCACUCCCGCCA
RNAcentral lists this transfer RNA (77 nucleotides) under Tepidicaulis marinus. It matches the Rfam family "tRNA". From Rfam's summary of the family: Transfer RNA (tRNA) molecules are approximately 80 nucleotides in length. Their secondary structure includes four short double-helical elements and three loops (D, anti-codon, and T loops). The record is from RNAcentral. RNAcentral also lists the same sequence under 5 other names. Lineage: Bacteria; Pseudomonadati; Pseudomonadota; Alphaproteobacteria; Hyphomicrobiales; Parvibaculaceae.